Eriocheir sinensis (Chinese mitten crab) is the source of this 639-nucleotide long non-coding RNA. RefSeq lists it as uncharacterized. The record is from RefSeq and is a predicted model, not a curated record. The transcript has 5 exons. Lineage: Eukaryota; Metazoa; Arthropoda; Malacostraca; Decapoda; Varunidae.
CCCUCCAAGAAGUGGCUCCUGACACCCUAUGUACGACCUCAGCCGGGCCCACAGUCCGCCUAUAAUAGAGCACACAAAAGGACAAGGAGCACAGUGGAGAGGGGGAUUGGCCAGUGGAAGCGGAGAUUUCAUGUGCUCCAUGGUGAAAUCAGAGUCAGCCCUCCUGCAUAUGUGUGUAGAAUAAUACAGGUGUGUGCUAUUUUGCACAACAUCUGCAAAGACAGACGCCUCCCUGUACCCGAGGAAGGAGAGGACGAGGGUGAUGGUGCAGGUUUCCAUGAGGACCCACCUGUCCCACUACCACCUGUACCUGGACGAGUUCGGGAAGGUCUGCUCUACAGGGAUGAGUUUGUCAACCUUCACUUCAUUGACAGACCUCAACCUCAGCCUCGUGCAGCUGUGUGAUGCUUCCCGACCCAUCAACAGGUUAAUUCCACACCUACUUCCAACUCUGCAGCCUGCAGUUCAAGUUCCCUCUUCAGGCGGAUGAACUGCAGCUCCUCCUCAUCCACCAACAUGGUGCAGGUCCCAACUGGUGUACUGGAGGAAGCUGCAGCGGCAGGAACUACUGGUGGUGGUGUGGUGGUGGUUUGAGGUGUGUCUGUGCUGGGUUGGGGAGGGACAGGUGGUGUGACAUCC